UACGUAGGGUGCAAGCGUUGUCCGGAAUUAUUGGGCGUAAAGAGCUCGUAGGCGGUUUGUCGCGUCUGCUGUGAAAACCCGAGGCUCAACCUCGGGCCUGCAGUGGGUACGGGCAGACUAGAGUGCGGUAGGGGAGAUUGGAAUUCCUGGUGUAGCGGUGGAAUGCGCAGAUAUCAGGAGGAACACCAGGUGGCGAAGGCGGUCUCUGGGCCGAUGACUGACGUGAGGAGCGAAAGCUGGGGAGCGAACAGG
This 252-nucleotide ribosomal RNA is filed under the name uncultured bacterium. RNAcentral describes it as "partial 16S ribosomal RNA". It matches the Rfam family "Bacterial small subunit ribosomal RNA", at positions 524 to 776 of the family's 1533-position model. The record is from RNAcentral.